This 253-nucleotide ribosomal RNA is filed under the name uncultured bacterium. RNAcentral describes it as "partial 16S ribosomal RNA". It matches the Rfam family "Bacterial small subunit ribosomal RNA", at positions 524 to 776 of the family's 1533-position model. The record is from RNAcentral.
GACAGAGGGUGCAAACGUUGUUCGGAAUUACUGGGCGUAAAGCGCGUGUAGGCUGCUCAGAAAGUCGGAUGUGAAAGCCCUGGGCUUAACCUAGGAAGUGCAUGGGAAACUGCAGUGCUUGAGUACUUAAGAGGAUCGCGGAAUUCCCGGUGUAGAGGUGAAAUUCGUAGAUAUCGGGAGGAACACCAGUGGCGAAGGCGACUACCUGGCCUGUUCUUGACGCUGAGGCGCGAAAGCUAGGGGAGCAAAAGGG